AUUGAACGCUGGCGACAUGCCUUACACAUGCAAGUCGAACGGCAGCACGGGUGCUUGCCCCUGGUGGCGAGUGGCGAACGGGUGAGUAAUACAUCGGAACAUGUCCUGUAGUGGGGGAUAGCCCGGCGAAAGCCGGAUUAAUACCGCAUACGAUCUACGGAUGACAGCGGGGGACCUUCGGGCCUCGCGCUAUAGGGUUGGCCGAUGGCUGAUUAGCUCGUUGGUGGGGUAAAGGCCUACCAAGGCGACGAGCAGUAGCUGGUCUGAGAGGACGACCAGUCGCACUGGGACUGAGACACGGCCCAGACUCCUACGGGAGGCAGCAGUGGGGAAUGUUGGACAAUGGGCGAAAGCCUGAUCCAGCAAUGCCGCGUGUGUGAAGAAGGCCUUCGGGUUGUAAAGCACUUUUGUCCGGAAAGAAAUCCUUGGCCCUAAUACGGUCGGGGGAUGACGGUACCGGAAGAAUAAGCACCGGCUAACUACGUG
This 486-nucleotide ribosomal RNA is filed under the name uncultured bacterium. RNAcentral's name for it is "partial 16S ribosomal RNA". It matches the Rfam family "Bacterial small subunit ribosomal RNA", at positions 30 to 507 of the family's 1533-position model. The record is from RNAcentral.